RNAcentral lists this ribosomal RNA (879 nucleotides) under human gut metagenome. RNAcentral's name for it is "bacterial SSU rRNA". It matches the Rfam family "Bacterial small subunit ribosomal RNA", at positions 8 to 900 of the family's 1533-position model. The record is from RNAcentral.
AGAGUUUGAUCCUGGCUCAGGACGAACGCUGGCGGCGCGCCUAACACAUGCAAGUCGAACGAGCGAGAGAGAGCUUGCUUUCUCGAGCGAGUGGCGAACGGGUGAGUAACGCGUGAGGAACCUGCCUCAAAGAGGGGGACAACAGUUGGAAACGACUGCUAAUACCGCAUAAGCCCACGGCUCGGCAUCGAGCAGAGGGAAAAGGAGCAAUCCGCUUUGAGAUGGCCUCGCGUCCGAUUAGCUAGUUGGUGAGGUAAUGGCCCACCAAGGCGACGAUCGGUAGCCGGACUGAGAGGUUGAACGGCCACAUUGGGACUGAGACACGGCCCAGACUCCUACGGGAGGCAGCAGUGGGGAAUAUUGCACAAUGGGGGAAACCCUGAUGCAGCGACGCCGCGUGGAGGAAGAAGGUCUUCGGAUUGUAAACUCCUGUUGUUGAGGAAGAUAAUGACGGUACUCAACAAGGAAGUGACGGCUAACUACGUGCCAGCAGCCGCGGUAAAACGUAGGUCACAAGCGUUGUCCGGAAUUACUGGGUGUAAAGGGAGCGCAGGCGGGAAGACAAGUUGGAAGUGAAAUCUAUGGGCUCAACCCAUAAACUGCUUUCAAAACUGUUUUUCUUGAGUAGUGCAGAGGUAGGCGGAAUUCCCGGUGUAGCGGUGGAAUGCGUAGAUAUCGGGAGGAACACCAGUGGCGAAGGCGGCCUACUGGGCACCAACUGACGCUGAGGCUCGAAAGUGUGGGUAGCAAACAGGAUUAGAUACCCUGGUAGUCCACACUGUAAACGAUGAUUACUAGGUGUUGGAGGAUUGACCCCUUCAGUGCCGCAGUUAACACAAUAAGUAAUCCACCUGGGGAGUACGACCGCAAGGUUGAAAC